GGGCUACGAGCUUCACUCCCAACCCAAUGUGAACCAUACCAAACUGUUGCCUCGGCGGGGUCACGCCCCGGGUGCGUCGCAGCCCCGGAACCAGGCGCCCGCCGGAGGGACCAACCAAACUCUUUUCUGUAGUCCCCUCGCGGACGUUAUUUCUUACAGCUCUGAGCAAAAAUUCAAAAUGAAUCAAAACUUUCAACAACGGAUCUCUUGGUUCUGGCAUCGAUGAAGAACGCAGCGAAAUGCGAUAAGUAAUGUGAAUUGCAGAAUUCAGUGAAUCAUCGAAUCUUUGAACGCACAUUGCGCCCGCCAGUAUUCUGGCGGGCAUGCCUGUCCGAGCGUCAUUUCAACCCUCGAACCCCUCCGGGGGGUCGGCGUUGGGGAUCGGGAACCCCUAAGACGGGAUCCCGGCCCCGAAAUACAGUGGCGGUCUCGCCGCAGCCUCUCCUGCGCAGUAGUUUGCACAACUCGCACCGGGAGCGCGGCGCGUCCACGUCCGUAAAACACCCAACUUCUGAAAUGUUGACCUCGGAUCAGGUAGGAAUACCCGCUGAACUUAAGCAUAUCAA
This 566-nucleotide ribosomal RNA is filed under the name Trichoderma gamsii. Its description in RNAcentral is "eukaryotic LSU rRNA". The stretch from base 188 to 341 matches the Rfam family "5.8S ribosomal RNA". Lineage: Eukaryota; Fungi; Ascomycota; Sordariomycetes; Hypocreales; Hypocreaceae. The record is from RNAcentral.